GACGAACGCUGGCGGCAGGCCUAACACAUGCAAGUCGAGCGGACCUUUCCUGGUCAGCGGCGGACGUGGGGGUGACGCGUGGGAAUAUGCCCUUCUCUACGGUAUAGUCCUCUGUAACUGGGGUUAAUACCGUAGACGCCCUUUGGGGGAAGGAUUUAUCGGGGCAGGAUUAGCCCGCGUUGGUUUAGGUGGUUGGUGGGGUAAUGGCAUACCAAGCAGACGAUCCAUAGCUGGUUUGUGAGGAUGAUAAUCCACAAUGGGACUGAGACACGGCCCAGACUGCUACGGGAAGGAGGAGUGGGGAAUAUUAGACAAGGGGGGCAACCGUGAUCUAGCCAUGCCGGGUGAGUGAUGAAGGCCGUAGGGUUGUAAAGCUCUUUCAGCUGGGAAGAUAAUGACGGUACCAGCAGAAGAAGCACCGGCUAACUACGUG
RNAcentral lists this ribosomal RNA (433 nucleotides) under uncultured bacterium. RNAcentral's name for it is "partial 16S ribosomal RNA". It matches the Rfam family "Bacterial small subunit ribosomal RNA", at positions 28 to 507 of the family's 1533-position model. The record is from RNAcentral.